GGGAACUGUUAAACUUGUUUGUUUGCCGGAGAGUUUCCCAUCAGGACGAUGUGUUGUUUAAAGCUCGAUGAGCUGCAAGGAGCACCGCUUUACUAGAGUUAUCUGGAUCCUCUGGUGCCUCGCGUGUUGGAAGUGAAGGACUCGAGGUCGGACUGUGAGAACUCUUCACGCUCCACAGCUCCUGAAUGCUGCGCUGCAAAAACCACAAUCUGCCCGGAGAUCAUGUAGCUCAGAUACUCACUGAGGCGUGAGUGUAUGAACACCCUGAGGCUCAAAGGAGGCUGCAGUUUCCUCACGACAUCGCCCUUUAAAAUGCCCACUUCCUUUGUGUCCGUGUCCUUGAACGUGGAGGACUUGAAGCUGCUGAACCAGGACAAAGUAUGUUGGAGAUGCUCUGACCACAUCC
Long non-coding RNA from Cottoperca gobio, 406 nucleotides. NCBI's taxonomy places the organism in Eukaryota, Metazoa, Chordata, Actinopteri, Perciformes, Bovichtidae. The record is from Ensembl.